RNAcentral lists this ribosomal RNA (460 nucleotides) under uncultured bacterium. RNAcentral's name for it is "partial 16S ribosomal RNA". It matches the Rfam family "Bacterial small subunit ribosomal RNA", at positions 338 to 795 of the family's 1533-position model. The record is from RNAcentral.
CCUACGGGUGGCAGCAGUGAGGAAUAUUGGUCAAUGGACGAGAGUCUGAACCAGCCAAGUCGCGUGAAGGAUGACUGUCCUAUGGGUUGUAAACUUCUUUUAUAUGGGAAUAAAAUGUUCCACGUGUGGGAUUUUGUAUGUACCAUAUGAAUAAGGAUCGGCUAACUCCGUGCCAGCAGCCGCGGUAAUACGGAGGAUCCGAGCGUUAUCCGGAUUUAUUGGGUUUAAAGGGAGCGUAGGUGGAUUGUUAAGUCAGUUGUGAAAGUUUGCGGCUCAACCGUAAAAUUGCAGUUGAAACUGGCAGUCUUGAGUACAGGAGAGGUAGGCGGAAUUCGUUGUGUAGCGGUGAAAUGCUUAGAUAUCACGAAGAACUCCGAUUGCGAAGGCAGUUCACUGGACUGCAACUGACACUGAGGCUCGAAAGUGUGGGUAUCAAACAGGAUUAGAUACCCCUGUAGUC